Molecule: ribosomal RNA, 420 nt
Filed under: Staphylococcus saprophyticus
Lineage: Bacteria; Bacillati; Bacillota; Bacilli; Caryophanales; Staphylococcaceae
Description: bacterial SSU rRNA
Rfam family: Bacterial small subunit ribosomal RNA
Source: RNAcentral
UUGCUCCUUUGACAUUAGCGGCGGACGGGUGAGUAACACGUGGGUAACCUACCUAUAAGACUGGGAUAACUUCGGGAAACCGGAGCUAAUACCGGAUAACAUUUGGAACCGCAUGGUUCUAAAGUGAAAGAUGGUUUUGCUAUCACUUAUAGAUGGACCCGCGCCGUAUUAGCUAGUUGGUAAGGUAACGGCUUACCAAGGCGACGAUACGUAGCCGACCUGAGAGGGUGAUCGGCCACACUGGAACUGAGACACGGUCCAGACUCCUACGGGAGGCAGCAGUAGGGAAUCUUCCGCAAUGGGCGAAAGCCUGACGGAGCAACGCCGCGUGAGUGAUGAAGGGUUUCGGCUCGUUAAACUCUGUUAUUAGGGAAGAACCAACUUGUAAUUAACUGUGUAUGUCUUGACGGGACGUAAUCG